CCUACGGGCGGCAGCAGUGAGGAAUAUUGGUCAAUGGCCGGAAGGCUGAACCAGCCAUGCCGCGUGAAGGUCAGUGCCCUAUGGGCGUUAAACUUCUUUUGUGCGGGAGCAAUAAUGGUCACGUGUGGCCAGACGAGAGUACCGUACGACUAAGCAUCGGCUAACUCCGUGCCAGCAGCCGCGGUAAUACGGGGGGUGCAAGCGUUAUCCGGAUUUAUUGGGUUUAAAGGGUGCGUAGGCUGUGAGGUAAGUCAGCGGUGAAAUGCCCCCGCUCAACGGGGUGAAGUGCCAUUGAUACUGCCUUGCUGGAAUGCGGAUGCCGUGGGAGGAAUGUGUGGUGUAGCGGUGGAAUGCAUAGAUAUCACACAGAACACCGAGUGCGAAGGCAUCUCACGAAUCCGCGAUUGACGCUGAUGCACGAAAGCGUGGGUAUCAAACAGGAUUAGAUACCCCAGUAGUC
This 460-nucleotide ribosomal RNA is filed under the name uncultured bacterium. Its description in RNAcentral is "partial 16S ribosomal RNA". It matches the Rfam family "Bacterial small subunit ribosomal RNA", at positions 338 to 795 of the family's 1533-position model. The record is from RNAcentral.